This 279-nucleotide ribosomal RNA is filed under the name uncultured bacterium. RNAcentral describes it as "partial 16S ribosomal RNA". It matches the Rfam family "Bacterial small subunit ribosomal RNA", at positions 506 to 784 of the family's 1533-position model. The record is from RNAcentral.
UGCCAGCAGCCGCGGUAAUACGGAGGGGGCAAGCGUUAUUCGGAAUCAUUGGGCGUAAAGGGCGUGUAGGCGGCCUGACAGGUCAAAGGUGAAAUCCCUCGGCUCAACCGAGGAACUGCCUUUGAAACCUUCAGGCUAGAGGCCGGGAGAGGCUAGCGGAAUUCCCAGUGUAGCGGUGAAAUGCGUAGAUAUUGGGAGGAACACCAGUGGCGAAGGCGGCUAGCUGGACCGGUUCUGACGCUGAGGCGCGAAAGCGUGGGGAGCAAACAGGAUUAGAUA